CACGUGUCUUCCUGCAAGGCCUGCUGGGAAAUUUGGGGCAUUAGCAACAAUGACCGUGUCCCUUUCGUCAAAGUAUGUUUUAUUUUUCUGAAGAGCAACACUGCAAAAGUGUUUAUGUUCUAGUCCUUGCUGAAUCCCAGGAGAGAAUAGGUGAGAGACUGCAGAUGGAGAGAACACAGGAGAAAGCAGGAGACAUGUCACAGGGUGCAUUCUGAGCGUGACAGUGAGAUGACUGCCGUCGAGGUGAGUGUCUGAACGGCUGCUUUAUUUCUGACCCUGGGAGGAUGCUGUGAGGAGCUCCUUUUGUGCCGUGGAGCUGGAUGGGCUCCAUUUCGGCUCUUAGGAACAUGAGGACACAAAGGCUCCGGUACACGUGCCGCCGCGAGCGAGCCGCUCACGCACGCCGAGGAGUACCUGGUCACGUUCCUGCAAUCCGGGGUGAAUGUGCCUCUCUCUGUCGACCUGCCUGAGGACGGGGAAGCUUUUUCAACGCUGUGCAACUUCUCAAAGUACAAACUCAAUGUGACUAGCCUGGCCGUCUUUGUCCCACAUUGUCACGAUGUCCUGUUGGAUAAUGCACCUGUGUUUCGAGGCGCGUGCGUGGGUGUGUGUGUGUGUGUGUGUGCGUGUGUGUGAAAGCAGUGUUGUUUGUGAACCGCACAGAGAGACAGCCCACUGAGCCAUAAGAAACCCUCACCCUAUUACUAGGCUUUGGAAUUUUGAGUUACGCACGCAGAAGUCUUUGUAACACACAUCAUAUACUAUAUAUCAGCCACCCUUCACUCUUAGCCUUAUUUGUAGACGCCCAAGUGUAAUCAUAUUUCUUUUGUCUUACAUUUGAUGAAAUGGCAACGAAAACAUUAGACCAUAUAACCAACCUUGCAAUUGUCCAGAUUCAAAGAAAUAAGAAUGUUUAUUAUUGUCAAAAAACAAAAGAAGGAAGAGAGGAGUAAGAAAAGACCUUCAUGUGACCUUCAGUCCACGCUCUCUGAGGGAGGAAGGGCAGGUCCCGCUGGGGUGGGGAUCCCAGGGCCUAAUAUAUUGACCUGUACUCAUCAAUAACAGAUUGACAGAGGGAGUGACAAAGCUCUCCUCUCAAUGAAGUGAUGUUGGGAUAAUUCUAGGGCAGGGGCUAUGGUCCUGCGCUGGAUUUUCUUUAGAGCAUCAAAGCAUGCGAUUCAUACAUCCAAUAUCAUUCAUUGCUGACAUUGGCAACAGGUGACUCACAAAGGGAGAAAAUAUCCUGCACGUAUUUAUGCUUUACUCAUUAGUAUUCUUACUGCACUGUAAUGCCCAUUUUUAUGCAGAUGAUGCAAUCUUGUAUGCCACUGGAUCCUUGCUUAACCAGGCUGUUAGUAAUUUACUUUGAUGCUUUCAGUUGGCUCUCAUUAAUCAUAAGCUUGAAUAAAACUAAAUGUACUUUAUUUUCGAGCAAUCUAUUUGAAAAUGGUUCUAAUACAUGUAUCUGCAUGUAUUCAGGGUACCCAAAUUAAAACUGCAGGAAUCUGG
Anguilla rostrata (American eel) is the source of this 1509-nucleotide long non-coding RNA. RefSeq lists it as uncharacterized. Lineage: Eukaryota; Metazoa; Chordata; Actinopteri; Anguilliformes; Anguillidae. The record is from RefSeq and is a predicted model, not a curated record. The transcript is spliced from 2 exons.